RNAcentral lists this ribosomal RNA (757 nucleotides) under Parallelostrombidium kahli. RNAcentral's name for it is "partial large subunit ribosomal RNA". It matches the Rfam family "Eukaryotic large subunit ribosomal RNA", at positions 106 to 857 of the family's 3401-position model. Lineage: Eukaryota; Ciliophora; Spirotrichea; Strombidiidae. The record is from RNAcentral.
AGCCCAAGAUGGAAAUCUCCGUGCUUCGCGCGGCGAAUUGUAAUCUAUAGGGUCCAUGCUCACCGGGUGGUGGCGCCUAAGUGCCCUGGAACGGGCCGCCAGAGAGGGUGACAGCCCCGUCUAUGGUUCCGCCACCUAACGAGCUGGGCUUCAAAGAGUCGGGUUGUUUUGUAUUGCAGCCCUAAGUGGGAGAUAAACUUCUUCUAAGGCUAAAUAUAUGUGGGAAACCGAUAGCGAACAAGUACUGUGAAGGAAAGAUGAAAAGCACUUUGAAAAGAGAGUCAAAAGACCUGAAACCGUUGAGGAGGAAGCGGUAGAGAUGAAUUCUACGGCGAGGCACUGGGGAGGCGGCCUAACCAUGGCUGGUUAUUCGUACGUCAAAGGCGAUGGCUGGUCUUAGGGGAAGCCGGUGACUUGUGCGGCGUCGUGAGGCCGGAUGGGGUGGCGUCUCCACAGAGGUCUAUUGGGCCUGGCCUGGCUUGCCAGGCAGCCCAGUAGUGCCGGUGGAGGCGUGGCCUGAGGGUGCUUUGUGCGAUCCGGUCAAAAUGGUCUUUACCGACUCGUCUUGAAACACGAGCCAAGGAGUCUAACGUACGCGCGAGUGUGCCGGUGGAGAAACCGACACGCGUAAUGAAAGUGAUUGAUGCCAAGCGCAAGCAGCAGCAUCGACCGACCCUAAAUGUAUGGGAUUGAGUACGAGCGCGUCCGCUAGGACCCGAAAGAUGGUGAACUAUGCCUGCGUAGGGUGAAGCCAGGG